AGGAGAAGGAAGCUUGCUUCUUCGAAUCUAGUGACAAACGGGUGAGUAACACGUAAACAACCUGCCUUCAGGAUGGGGACAACAGACGGAAACGACUGCUAAUACCGAAUACGUUCCUUAGGUCGCAUGACUUUAGGAAGAAAGGGGUGGCCUCUACUUGUAAGCUAUCGCCUGAAGAGGGGUUUGCGUCUGAUUAGGUAGUUGGUGAGGUAACGGCCCACCAAGCCGACGAUCAGUAGCCGGUCUGAGAGGAUGAACGGCCACACUGGAACUGAGACACGGUCCAGACUCCUACGGGAGGCAGCAGGUGGGGAAUCUUCCGCAAGUGGGACGAAAGCCUGACGGAGCAACGCCGCGUGAGUGAAGAAGGUCUUCGGAUACGUAAAGCUCUGUUGUCGGGGACGAAUGUUGAGACCUAGAACAUAGGUUUCAAAUGACGGUACCUGACGAGGAAGCCACGGCUAACUACGUG
This 472-nucleotide ribosomal RNA is filed under the name uncultured bacterium. Its description in RNAcentral is "bacterial SSU rRNA". It matches the Rfam family "Bacterial small subunit ribosomal RNA", at positions 67 to 507 of the family's 1533-position model. The record is from RNAcentral.